CCUACGGGUGGCAGCAGUGAGGAAUAUUGGUCAAUGGGCGGAAGCCUGAACCAGCCAAGUCGCGUGAGGGACUAAGGCCCUACGGGUCGUAAACCUCUUUUGCCGGGGAUCAGUGCCCAGCUCGCGAGCUGGGAGGGAGCGUACCCGGAGAAAAAGCAUCGGCUAACUCCGUGCCAGCAGCCGCGGUAAUACGGAGGAUGCGAGCGUUAUCCGGAUUUAUUGGGUUUAAAGGGUGCGCAGGCGGUCUGUUAAGUCAGCGGUCAAAGCCCGGGGCUCAACCCCGGCCCGCCGUUGAAACUGGCAGUCUCGAGUUGGAGAGAAGUAUGCGGAAUGCGCGGUGUAGCGGUGAAAUGCAUAGAUAUCGCGCAGAACUCCGAUUGCGAAGGCAGCAUGCCGGCUCCACACUGACGCUGAGGCACGAAAGCGUGGGUAUCGAACAGGAUUAGAUACCCCUGUAGUC
This 460-nucleotide ribosomal RNA is filed under the name uncultured bacterium. RNAcentral describes it as "partial 16S ribosomal RNA". It matches the Rfam family "Bacterial small subunit ribosomal RNA", at positions 338 to 795 of the family's 1533-position model. The record is from RNAcentral.